Molecule: long non-coding RNA, 1436 nt
Filed under: Vulpes vulpes (red fox)
Lineage: Eukaryota; Metazoa; Chordata; Mammalia; Carnivora; Canidae
Description: lncRNA (ENSVVUG00000016642.1)
Source: RNAcentral
UGCUCCGUCCCCCCCCCCCCCCCCCCCAAAUACUAUUAUUAUGGGUCCUUUUGCCUCUACGUCUGCAGAACAAUUUCACAGUGCAUUACAACUUUUUUGCUGUAUUCUCAGCUGUUGGAAGGCAGGUUUUUAUUCUCUGCAUCCGGUGAGCAAAAGAGGAACUUCAGGGACUUCCCUUUUCAUAGCACCGAGACACAGGUUUUGUUGUCGUUAGUUUUGCAAUGAUACAUUAAGCUCUGUGAGGACAAGGAAACAUCUAGUUCCUCUUUUACAGCUGUCGCCUCUCUAGUUAAAAAAAAAAAAAAAGUAUUUGAAUACAUGUUCAGAAAGUGCCACAAUCUCACACCCCGGAGGAUGAAUCUCUCCAAGUCAGGGUGACCAGGUCCGCAGGACGGUGCAAUCAUUCCCCCUCCCUCCAGACGUGGGCACGGUGGGCACGCGCAUAACGCCCCUAGCUGACAGCCACCUCACAAUGUUUCAAGCUACCAGAUACAUCCAGGGAUCAUUUACUAGGUUCACGCCCUUGGGAUGGACGAAUGAAUACUGAUCGGCCUCACCCAAGCAUCUGGGGCUGGGAGGAUGCCUGUUUGUAUGUAUGUAUGUUUGUGUGUAUGAUGUAUGUAUGUAUAAAUAAAUAAAUAAUGUAUAAAUAAAUAAAUAAAUAAAUAAAUAAAUAAAUAAAUAAAAAUAUAAAUAAAACGAAACAGGAGCCAUGCAGGCUGUGCACCAGGUUCAAGGCCACAAUCACCCUCUUGUAAAUACUACAAGCAUCAGGCAUAGCUUUGCGGGGCUCCAGGUCUCGGGAGAAGAGGCGACAACCCGCGGAGGACACAGGUGCGACCCCGGCCGCGCUGACACGAGGGGCCCAACGAGGAGCUGGGGCAGGCGGGGGGCUCCGCGGGGCGGCGAGCUGCAGGAGGCCCCAGCCAACAGCUCAAAGUCCCUCUCACGUGUCUAGGCCUCUCGUCCCACCUCUCCUGGGAGAGCCGCUGGAGCCGGCCCCGGGCUCCCGUGCUCCCCCACGGCCCUGUCUCCACACCCGCGCCCUCCCCAGAGCCUCCUCCCCGCCGGCCCCUUGCACCUCAGCUCGUACGGUCCUCUGCGGAGCUCCGGCUCCGGCUGCACCCGCAAUCGCCGAGAGCCGACUCGGCCGCCGGCUCUUUCCUCUCUUCCCCGCGCUACCACUGAGAGGACGGCGGGCGCCGGCUAGAGAGCCUCAGCCGUACCAUAAAGAGACGCCCAGGAGCGGCCUAGAGCGACCCAAGCCUGGCCGGCCUCCCGGGCGGAAGGGGCGGGGCGGCGUUGAUUGGCGGAAGAGUCCGGGGGAAGCAAUGGCUGCCUCCGACGCUUGCUCCCGGCUUUGCCGUCUGUCCUCCGAGAGACCCAGAGAGAGAGAGAGGCAGAGACACAGAGGAAGAAGCAGGCUCCAUGCUUGA